GGAGCCGAGCGGCGACACAGGCUUAUGGGCGACCGGUGUCCCACGCAGCUGCCCCUGGGGAGGUGCGGAGCCGGCUCUGGAGCUGCUCGGGCUGCGCGGGGCGAUACGGCCUCUCUCACGGGAACUGGUCCACCUGGUGGCGAGACUGAAUUCUUUGCAGCGCUGGGUCUGCGUUAGGAUUGUAGUCCGUUUUGGGGUGUGCUGGACGGAGAAGGGAGAUUUUCAUCAGAAACGGCGCUUUUGCUAUUCCCAUCUUCUGUGACUCACGAGGUUUGGAAAGGAAGCACUACCGUUUGAGCAGCGACCAUUUGUGUUAAUCCCCUGGAUUAGGAAUUGAAUAUGACAAAGCUUGGAAGCUUUCCGCGUCACUGCCUUCUGCCGAGAACUCCGUUUCCUGUAUCUGCUGAAUCUCGGAAACCCCGACUGAAAAAAGAUUGGGCUGCCAGUAAAGAUGGUACAGUAAACUCAACUUUUGGCCACUCCUACUCCAGAUUCAGAGCAAUGAAGAAUAGAAAAUCUCAAGAGUUUCCUAUUUUGGAGAAGCAGAACUGGCUGAUACAUCUUCACUAUAUCCGGAAGGAUUAUGAAGCAUGCAAGGCUGUUAUCAAAGAGCAGCUUCAGGUGACUCAGGGGCUAUGUGAAUAUGCUAUCUAUGUCCAAGCAUUAAUAUUUCGCCUGGAAGGAAACAUCCAAGAAUCCCUAGAACUCUUUCAGACGUGUGUUGCUCUCAGCCCUCAGUGUGCUGAUAACCUCAAGCAGGUGGCCAGAUCGUUAUUUCUUUUGGGAAAACAUAAAGCUGCCAUUGAAGUUUAUAAUGAAGCCGCUAAACUUAACCAGAAAGAUUGGGAGAUCUGUCACAACCUAGGAGUUUGCUACAUUUAUCUGAAACAGUUCAAAAAGGCGCAGGAACAGCUGCACUGUGCCCUGCAUCUCAACAGGCAUGACUUGACUUACGUCAUGCUGGGGAAGACCCACAUUCUGGAGGGAGACUUGGACAAGGCCAUCGAAAUCUACAAGAAGGCAGUAGAGUUCUCACCAGAGAAUACAGAACUUCUUACGACUUUGGGAUUACUCUACUUACAGCUCGGCAUUUACCAGAAGGCCUUCGAACAUCUUGGAAAUGCACUGACCUACGACCCUACCAACUACAAGGCCAUCUUGGCAGCAGGCAGCACGAUGCAGACCCACGGGGACUUCGAUGUUGCCCUCACCAAGUACAGAGUUGUAGCUUGUGCCGUUCCAGAAAGUCCUCCACUCUGGAAUAAUAUCGGAAUGUGUUUCUUUGGCAAGAAGAAAUACGUGGCGGCUAUCAGCUGCCUGAAACGAGCCAACUACUUGGCACCCUUCGAUUGGAAGAUUCUGUAUAACUUGGGUCUUGUCCACUUAACCAUGCAGCAGUAUGCGUCAGCGUUCCAUUUCCUCAGUGCGGCCAUCAACUUCCAGCCAAAGAUGGGGGAGCUCUACAUGCUCCUGGCCGUGGCUCUGACCAAUCUGGAAGACCCAGAGAACGCCAAGAGAGCCUACGAGGAAGCCGUCCGCCUGGAUAAGUCUAACCCGUUAGUGAACCUGAACUACGCUGUGCUGCUGUACAACCAGGGCGAGAAGAAGGGCGCGCUGGCCCAGUAUCAGGAGAUGGAGAAGAAGGUCCGCCUGCCGCAGGACAGCAGCUCUCUGGAAUUUGACUCCGAGACAGGAUUCCAGCUGCACUCCCCAGUGGAAGAGACGGGUGGGCUUCACUCUGCCGGUGACAUCUGUGGCUCUUCUUUCUUCCCAUGUGGGCACAAGAUGGUGGACAUGGCCCAGAAGCUGGGAGCUGCCCUCCAGGUCGGGGAGGCACUGGUCUGGACGAAGCCAGUUAAAGAUACCAAGUCAAAGCACCGGACCACUUCAGCCAGCAAAGCCGCCAGUCUCCAGCAGCCUCUGGGCUCUAAUCAGGCUCUAGGACAGGCAAUGUCCUCAGCAGCUGCAUACAGGAAGCUCCCCUCAGGUGCUGCAGGAACAGCCCACCGCACAGAGCCGCCAUCUCCUCCUCUGGGGCCGGAGCCCACUGUGGAAGCGCAUCCAAAUGAAGCAUCAGCACAAAUAAGGGAAAAAUAGGAGUAGGAUGACCCCAGAGUAGGGGUUUCUCUGGCGAGGAGGCAGCACAUUAGGCGAGGUCACGGAACACAGGCAGCACGGACGCCGGCGUGUUCCUGGGCACCAAGGAACGCAGGAUGUGCCGUGAUGAUCCCGAGGAGCCUCUCAUCAGCCGGCCCCAGACAGGUCCUUUCAGAACAGGGAGGGGUCACAGAUGAAGAGCCUGAGGCAGCUUUGCAGGCCCAGAGGCUGCUACGAGCCAGGUAUGAAACGAUCACCCCUGACCUAAGCGGGCCUGGCACCUGCUGCCACAUUUAUACUGUUCUUUGAACACUGAGAAGGCUCACCAAACACUUCAAACUGCUGUUUCAUAGUGGCUUCGCUACUUGAAACUAGUGUCUUCUGUCGCCUUAAACCAACAGCAAACAGACUUACAGCUUAGGCUCAGGGUGCGGGACCGCCUACCUGGUGAUGGGAAGACAACAUAAUCCAACGCCUCAAGAGCAGAGGAACCUACAGCUCACACCUUCGUCAAGGUCAGAAUGAUUCAUACUUUAUCUGGCUCCACAGUGGUGGUGAAAGAAACAAAAUCACAGACUUACAUAUCCUGAAAUGUAAAUUAUUUUUAAUAUAUUUAAAAGCACACAGAAGGUCUCCUUGAUUUAUAAAAAAAUAAAUACAUAACAUGACAGAUUUAUUCAUGAUCCUGGGGCUCUUAAUGAGGUAAAACUUUUUAACGUAUGUGGUGUGUCAAUGUAAAACACACAUGAUCUGUUACACACACACACAGAAGCAUAUUCCAGUUGCAAAUGCAAAUUCCUUCAAGGAUCCGAAUGAACAAAGAUGAGUCCUCCACUGUGGAAAGUGUGCCCAGAGCUGGGGGAUGAGACUGGGCCUCUGACCAGCCAGGCUCCGAACACAUGCAGAGCGCGGCCUCCCUCAAAGGCUGCCCAGGGCCCCCCGCCUCUGCUGUGACUGCGAUGCU
This is an RNA transcript of Suricata suricatta (meerkat), 3061 nucleotides long. It is a transcript of the gene named Bardet-Biedl syndrome 4, with no coding region annotated. NCBI's taxonomy places the organism in Eukaryota, Metazoa, Chordata, Mammalia, Carnivora, Herpestidae. The transcript is spliced from 18 exons. The record is from RefSeq and is a predicted model, not a curated record.